CUGAGCUGCUGAUUGGUUGGAGAAAGAGGGAUGCAGACGAUACACUUGCUGGUUAGUUGCGGGCAUACAAUGCCCUAUAGGAGAGGGGUGAGAAGUGGACCGCAUAUCUUUCCUGGUUGGGGGUAGGAAGGAGCAGGCCAGGCCGUUCAAGAUGAGAGGUGGGGCCAGGAUAAGGGUCUGGUCAUUCUGGUCUUGGCCAGAGGCCAACUUCCAUCUCCUUGUAAAGGCCUUGAAGCCCAACACCUCACUUCCUGCCUCUGGCCUCAGUGUUCCCCUCCGAGCGCUGGGGUUGGACUUGAGAUGUUGAUGGGCCUUCCAGCUCUUGCUAGAGUGAAGCCCACCUCUCGCCUUUGAGUCCAGUGCCUGUCACCCACCUGCACCCCUCAGGUGUGGGUGCCCCAACCAGUCCCCAGGCUGCGACCCUGGCAGUCUUUCUAGUCUCUAGCCUGGUGGGACUUGUCACCAACAACGAGAGCGUGUCUUCCUGCCUCACCCUCUCCCUCUCGGUGGGGGCCAGGCAGCAGGGAGCUUGUCCGGGAGUGGGUCCUCCCAGACAAACCAGGCCCGUCAACAAACAGGCGACCAAAACAACAAGAUUACGAAACCCAGAUUCAGGGAAAGAGGCCACUCCAAGCCUCUCUCCAGGACGGGGGGCCGUGAAAUUGGGCCAGGCCUAUGGGUCAGAGCCGGCCUGGCCCGGACUAUUUUUGUACUGUCUCGGGGGUGGGGGCUGAUGAAAUCCCAGCUGUGUUUCACCAAAACACUUUCCCCUUAAGCCCCGGCUCCAUGUGGUGCAAAUUCAUUGUCACUUAACUCAUCACUCAAGGCUCUGAGCCGCACCCCUCCCCCCUCCGGAGAAAGACAAAAACACACAGCCUCUGGCACGCGGGCGAGGUCGGCGUGAGGGGCUGUGACAAGCAGGCUGGCUGUCUUGACCUGAGCUGCCCCCGGCAGCCGGCCCCUGCCUCUUCCCCUUCCUUCCACCUCAGCCUUGGGUUCCUCAAAGGCAGGCUGCUGUGUUGGGGUCACUGACGGCCCCCCACUGGAUACAGGAAGCUGAUGAGCCCCAAAGAAAGAAGCUCCUCUGUGUCAAGAUGGCGGCGGGCAAUUCUGCAUUUUGCAUUUUGGAUGUGCAUCCCAAGUGACACUCUGCGAAUGCUGUUUUGGGAGAAACGUGGUUCUGGACUCGAUAAGCUGGAGAAACACUGAAUUUGACAAGGUCAGCAAGGCUCCUCUCUUGCAGGACUUCUUAGAGCCUUUCAUUGUUAAUAGGCACUUUGAUCUAUUAAGAAGGGGCUCUGGUGUUUUUUUCAUGCUUUUUUAAUACUGGUGCUACUUUUCUUCACGAACUCUUUUCCGGGGACAAGUGGGACAUCGUCUGGGCCCUGCAGGUUUUGAGGACACCUCAGAGAUUCUUGGACUUGAAACGUCAAGUCACCCAGCAGAGGUGGUGACCGUGGGUAAAGAUGCUUCCUUUUUCAUAUCGAGUGGCAGAUCACCUUCUUAACUCUUGAUGAACUUGGCCACGGGAAUCAAGCCAGUGUGGAAAUCUGGCCUCACGAUCUGCCCCCUCUUCCUGGCACGGAGUGGAGAGGAGCUGCUGAAUGGGCAGAACCAGGAGGCUGCCUUGGACUAAGAAGCUUCUGCCUGUGCCACACCAGCCGAGAUUGCCUGAGGAAUUGAGUCAGCGUCUUCCUGGAUGGUGCUGAAAGGCUGGAUUCCUAGAAGACAGGAAUUUAUGGUGUGAGAGCUCCAGCCCCCGCAAACCCACAGCCAAGGUCAACAGCACGAGGCGGGCAGCGCUGCCAAGCAAGGAGGGGAGCCCAGAAAACCAAAGUACAUGCAUUUAAAAAAUUCUCUUCUCUCCCUCACGUUCCCAAAAGGGGGGCUCAAGAAAGGUCUCCCAGCCUGGCCCAGAUGAUCCCCUCACAGAGACAGAACCUGUGAAGCUGCCGGGGAGGGGGUCUCUUGGGCCCUUGGAGGGUUUGAACGUAGCCCCAUUGCUGGGUCCCAAGCAUGGCAGUGACCAUCUGGUCUUAGGGGGUGGUAGCAAGCUACCCUUGGUGCCCUCUCCUGGUCAACCAAGGGCAGCUGAGGUGCCCUAAGCCUUGUCACAGAGGCCCCUGAGGUGGAAGCCUGAUUCACAGUCUCCCCUCUGCCAUCUUGGGUCUUGGGUCUUGACUGCCUGCCCAACAGUAAACACCCAGUGCCUGGGGCCAGGGCUCCCUGUCACAGGCUGUGGCCCUGGACUCUGACAACACAGGACAGGCUUGUUCCAGCCCCCUGUGGUAGCCAAGCGGAGGUGAGGAGAGGCCUGGAGACCACCUUGAUUUGAACCCCAAUGACUUAUGCUGGCAAGGCAGCCCCCCCCCCCCGCAGCCAUGAGCCCCCAAGAGUUUAAAUAUCCAUGUGUCACCCUCACACCUGCCACUCAUGGAGCCCCCUGGCAGGGCCAGGACCUGAGAAAGAAUAGGGUAGCAUCUUGCCCCAGAGUCACACCUCCAAGUGGGGGUGAAGGGAAGGCUGGCAUGGAAAUGGGGGGUGACCAGCACGUGAGGGGCUGUGGGUCCCCCCCCAGGAGCGAAUGACCCAGGGCUGGGAGGAACAACAUCGGUCAGAGAAAUCACGAAGGAGGCGGCCAGAGUUCACCAGGCGGACACAGAAUAGGAAAGGGGCUUAGAGGGAACAUUCCAGCCAAGUCUGCAGCAUGUGCAAAGGCCCAGAAUGUUUAUACCUUGGUAAGACUUUUCAUAUAAA
Sus scrofa (pig) is the source of this 2757-nucleotide non-coding RNA. The record is from RefSeq and is a predicted model, not a curated record. Lineage: Eukaryota; Metazoa; Chordata; Mammalia; Artiodactyla; Suidae.